This 115-nucleotide small nuclear RNA is filed under the name Otolemur garnettii (small-eared galago). RNAcentral's name for it is "U2 spliceosomal RNA". It matches the Rfam family "U2 spliceosomal RNA". From Rfam's summary of the family: U2 is a small nuclear RNA (snRNA) component of the spliceosome (involved in pre-mRNA splicing). Lineage: Eukaryota; Metazoa; Chordata; Mammalia; Primates; Galagidae. The record is from Rfam by way of RNAcentral.
AUCGCUUCUCGGCCAUUUGGCUAAGAUCAAGUAUAGUAUCUCUUCUUAUCAGUUUAAAAAUACUAACCUCAUAUAUAUGCUAAGUAAGUACAAUGCCCAGCAUGCAGUACUGCUC